UAGGACAUAGUGUGUAGGUAGCAUUUAGAAUUUUGGAUUCUAAGGUAUAGGUUCAAUUCCUAUGGUCC
RNAcentral lists this transfer RNA (68 nucleotides) under Melanomys caliginosus (dusky rice rat). RNAcentral's name for it is "tRNA-Gln". It matches the Rfam family "tRNA". From Rfam's summary of the family: Transfer RNA (tRNA) molecules are approximately 80 nucleotides in length. Their secondary structure includes four short double-helical elements and three loops (D, anti-codon, and T loops). Lineage: Eukaryota; Metazoa; Chordata; Mammalia; Rodentia; Cricetidae. The record is from RNAcentral.